CAUGUGGUUAAUGAUGCACAUAUUUUUUCCCCGUCAUAUCGACUGUGGUGAGGAAAACCGAAAACUAAGCCAGUUGUGUCUGAAACCACCUG
This is a non-coding RNA of Xyrichtys novacula (pearly razorfish), 92 nucleotides long. The record is from the annotation of a GenBank genome assembly. NCBI's taxonomy places the organism in Eukaryota, Metazoa, Chordata, Actinopteri, Labriformes, Labridae.